GGGGCAUGAUGGCCAGCUCUAUGGAUCACAACAAUACCACUAUCCGUAUUUCCAGCCCCUCCCUCCAACCAGUAAUUCAUACACUACUCCAGUUGCCCUGCCAAAAGGUGAGAUCGCCACCUCUGCUGCUGCUGCUGACCAUGCAUCGUUGUCUGUUGAUUCUGCUAAUGGAAUUUCUAAUGGCAUUGCCAAUGGUGGUGUAAAGGGAAAUGCUGGGCCUACGCUUGUGAGGCCUGCAUUCCAGAACCCAUCCGUAAAUGCUAAUGGUUCUUAUGGGCGGGGUGCGUUGCCUGGAGGAGCUGCUUCAGGUUAUCACGACCCUAGAUUAGGUUUUGAUGGUGUGCGAUCUCCCAUUCCAUGGAUAGAUGGAUCAAUGUUCACUGACGGGCAAGGUAGGCCAGUGUCGAGCAAUUCUUUUACAACAUCUUUUUCAAAUGGCAGUGCCGUUCCAUCAUCAAAAAUCAGAAUGUUCAUCCGCAUCUAAUGGUAUGUUAUUUGAGAACAUGAAUAUGUUCUUUCUCUUCCAUAUUUACUGUCUCCUUAAAGAGACUUUAGAGUAGCUACUCCAGUAAUUGGAGCCAAGCAGCUGCGUGUAAGGGUUUUCUCCAUAUAUUUUCUGGUCUCAUUUUCUUGUUGACACCGACUCUCUUUUCAUUCUCAGGGCUUCCACCACCCAAGGCCCUCUUCUGGCAUGAACACAACAAAUGGGUAUAUGUAUAGGAUGUACCCCAAUAAACUGUAUGGGGGGCGGUAUUGUAACACAUUCGGUACUGGCAUGGGCUUUGGAUCCAAUGGAUAUGAUACCCGUACCACAGGUCGUGGGUGGAUGACGGUUGACAACAAGUUCAAACCCAGGGGUAGAGGAAAUAGUUUCUACGGUAAUGAGAACAUGGAUGGUUUAAAUGAGCUCAACAGGGGACCUAGAGGUAAAGGUUUCAAGAAUCAAAAGGGUUUUACACCAGUAACGCUGGCAGUCAAGGGGCAGAACAUUCCGCUCACCCUAACCAAUGAUGCUGAGAAAGAAAAACCAAGCCUGAUUCCUGACAGAGAACAAUACAACUGUCCAGAUUUUCCAGUGACAUAUACUGAUGCCAAGUUUUUUAUAAUCAAGUCUUACAGUGAGGAUGAUGUGCACAAAAGCAUCAAAUAUAAUGUUUGGGCUAGCACACCAAAUGGUAACAAGAAGCUUGAUUCUGCUUACCAGGAGGCUAAACAAAAGUCUGGUGGUUGCCCUGUUUUUCUUUUCUUCUCGGUGAGCUUUAUUAGAUACAUCAUUCUCAAGUCUUUUUUUGGUUGAGUCACAUUCUCCUUGUUUUGAUUGGUUAUUUAUGGUCUUUUUAUCCAGGUGAAUACAAGUGGUCAGUUUGUUGGUGUUGCAGAGAUGGUAGGACCAGUUGAUUUCAACAAGAGUUUGGAGUAUUGGCAGCAAGACAAGUGGAUCGGCUGCUUUCCUGUAAAGUGGCACAUU
RNAcentral lists this long non-coding RNA (1468 nucleotides) under Nicotiana tabacum (common tobacco). RNAcentral describes it as "long non-coding RNA (NTAB_LNC017780)". Lineage: Eukaryota; Viridiplantae; Streptophyta; Magnoliopsida; Solanales; Solanaceae. The record is from RNAcentral.